CAAAGUAUAGCUAAAUUAGUAUAGUGCUUCAGUUACGUUGAAGAGAAUUAUCGUGCAAAUCGAUUUACUUUGA
RNAcentral lists this transfer RNA (73 nucleotides) under Tmethypocoelis ceratophora. Its description in RNAcentral is "tRNA-Val". Lineage: Eukaryota; Metazoa; Arthropoda; Malacostraca; Decapoda; Dotillidae. The record is from RNAcentral.